Molecule: transfer RNA, 69 nt
Filed under: Melursus ursinus (sloth bear)
Lineage: Eukaryota; Metazoa; Chordata; Mammalia; Carnivora; Ursidae
Description: transfer RNA-Gly
Rfam family: tRNA
About the family: Transfer RNA (tRNA) molecules are approximately 80 nucleotides in length. Their secondary structure includes four short double-helical elements and three loops (D, anti-codon, and T loops). Further hydrogen bonds mediate the characteristic L-shaped molecular structure. tRNAs have two regions of fundamental functional importance: the anti-codon, which is responsible for specific mRNA codon recognition, and the 3' end, to which the tRNAs corresponding amino acid is attached (by aminoacyl-tRNA synthetases). tRNAs cope with the degeneracy of the genetic code in two manners: having more than one tRNA (with a specific anti-codon) for a particular amino acid; and 'wobble' base-pairing, i.e. permitting non-standard base-pairing at the 3rd anti-codon position.
Source: RNAcentral
GCUUCUUUAGUAUUGAUCAGUACAAUUGGCUUCCAAUCAAUUAGCUCUGGUGUAAUCCAGAAAGAAGCA